UUGAUAAUGGGUGCGUUUGCG
RNAcentral lists this non-coding RNA (21 nucleotides) under Arabidopsis thaliana (thale cress). Lineage: Eukaryota; Viridiplantae; Streptophyta; Magnoliopsida; Brassicales; Brassicaceae. The record is from RNAcentral.